Molecule: long non-coding RNA, 1372 nt
Filed under: Sus scrofa (pig)
Lineage: Eukaryota; Metazoa; Chordata; Mammalia; Artiodactyla; Suidae
Description: lncRNA (ENSSSCG00015065092.1)
Source: RNAcentral
UUAGGGAGAGAGCCGGGCAUCUGCAUUUCGUCAGUGGAUCCAUUUUGACCUUUUACCUUUUACCUUCUUGGGAGCCUGGGCCGAGUUUUGCUUUUCAAUUUAGAAGAGCAGGAUGGCCACAUUUUUUUUUCUUACAGUGUGGUUUCCUUAGAGUCCAAACCCAAAGUUUUAUUUUUUUACAUCAGUGUACCUGUCUUGAUUUUCCAAAUAACUUACAUUACCUUAAAACAAGGAAAAAAAAAUUUUGGGGCUGUGCCCUUGGCAUGGGAUAGGGACAGAGCCACAGCAAUGACAAUGCCAGAUCCUUAACUUGCUGUGCCACUCUGAGAACUCCCCAAAUAAGAUUUUAUUUAUUGUGCACAUUUCUUCGUAUAGAGGACUCUAAAACAAAUAAAUGUACUGAGUUGAAUUUGAUGAAUCCUGCCUGAUAAGUAUUUGUAACCUAUUUUUCAAAAAAAAGCCUUUUAAAAGCUAGUGAUGAGAGAGGAGUUUCCAUCUCUUUAUUAGAGUUGUUGGAAAUGUGCCAAAGAGAUAACCUGGCGUAUAUUUCCCUCAAAAGUCAUGUUUUAUUCUUUAACAUGAACAUCUUAUACCCUCGGAAUUCGGGGAAUUGUUGAGCUGAAAAACCUGGGGUACAGUGCCCUGUGUUGCCAGCCUCUAGGCAAGACAGCAAAAACUUCGGGGUUUCCCGGGUUCUUCCUUUCGGAAGAGAACCGAGGAGGGGGCGCUGCAAAAGUCUCCAAAAAGCAUUCUUACAGGAUCUCUAAUGGGAGAACCUGCUGACUAACUCGCCACCCCACACUUACCGCUGCAAGCAAACUUGCAGCGCUUCCCUCGCACGCGCGGGGAGCGGGACCUGAGGCCCUGUGCAUGCCGCGGAGCGAACCAUCCGGCCGGCCGGAGAGGGGGGAGGUUCGGACGUGGGGGGCGCGGUAAGCUGGGGCCUCGGUGUCUGCCUGUUGCCUCCACCCUCUUCCGUCCCUGGCGGGGAGUCGCGCGAGCCCGAACCCUCGGUGGGGACUUGAGGGGCGCGGCGCUGGCAAGCCUUCCCCCGGGCCGCGCGGGGGUGGUAGCGGCCCUUUUCAGAGUUUCCCGGGCCGGCGGCCGGCGCAGAGGCGCUGCCUGCGGCCGGGGGCGGGCCGACGCCGCAGCCGCCGCGGCCGCGGGAGGAGGGACAAAGGGGUGGGUCCCCGUGGGGCCGUCACCCAGGCAAAACGCGGCUGACGGGCUGAGAACUGACCUGCCGCCCGGAGUAUCAGGAGGAGCGGGGCUCGGGACUGGUGCGUCCAUGAGAGACCCGCGCCCGAAGAUGCCGGUGCGAGGAGAUCGCGGGUUUCCACCCAGGCGGGAGAUGUCAAGUUGGCUCCAUUGA